RNA transcript from Mus musculus (house mouse), 7247 nucleotides. It is a transcript of the gene named PHD finger protein 21A, with no coding region annotated. NCBI's taxonomy places the organism in Eukaryota, Metazoa, Chordata, Mammalia, Rodentia, Muridae. The transcript has 19 exons. The record is from RefSeq and is marked validated.
CCCGCGCGGGCGAGUGUGUCUGGGCCUGGGCGGAGGGAUCCCCGGGCUGAGGCGGCGGAGGUGCUGCGGCCCGGGGCCGGGUGGUGAAUGGGCUGGUGGUGCUCGCUGCUGCUGCUGAGAGGAGGAGGAGGAGGAUGAAGAGUUGGGCUUGUUUGUCUCCCACAGUUUCUCUCCUGCUGCUCUGAUUCCUCCCUCCCCAUUCCGGCCCGGGGCCUGUGUGUGUCUCUCCUGGAGGAGGAGGAGGCUCCAGUUCCUCCCCCCCACCCCCUCCUCCCCACCCCCCCUUGCCUGGGGAAGAGGAGGAAAGAAACAGCCCAGAGAGAGAGAGAGAGAGAGAGAGAGAGAAAGAGAGAGAGUGUGAGUGAGUGAGAGAGAGGAGAGGAGGAGGAGGAGGGAGAAGGGAACAACCUACCAUCUUAACACACUAAUAUCUAAAAAGUGCGAGAGGCCCAGAGCAGCAGCAGCAGAAGCAGCAGCGGCAGCUCCAGCCUCUUCCCUCCCUCCCCAUGAAGAAGAGUUCCCUCCUCCUCCUCCUCCUGCUUCUCCUGCUCAGAGUUCCUGCCUCCAGCUGCCAGGGGGGACAGCCAGCCAGCAGCAGGAGGGGGACUGGAGAGCUGAAGGAGCGCCAGCUUCUCCAGAAUUGGACUUCUCAGAACCUUUAAUAUGCUAAUGUGCAUUGUGAAUCUCCAAGAUGGGGAUAUGAUAUGCAGCAUUCUUGAAUACUUCUAAUGACAGGGAGCCCACUACCUCAUAAGCUGCAGCAACAAGAGGAGCUUGUAAUUUUAAACGGAGGCUGAAGACACUGUAGAAUUAGCAGACAUAAGAGAGCGUGGAGAAGGCAGAGGAUGGAGUUGCAGACUCUACAGGAGGCUCUUAAAGUGGAAAUUCAGGUUCACCAGAAACUGGUUGCCCAAAUGAAGCAGGAUCCACAGAAUGCUGACUUAAAGAAACAGCUUCAUGAACUCCAAGCCAAAAUCACAGCUUUGAGUGAGAAACAGAAAAGAGUAGUUGAGCAGCUGCGCAAGAACCUGAUAGUCAAACAAGAGCAGCCGGACAAGUUCCAGAUACAGCCAUUGUCACAGUCUGAAAACAAACUACAAACAGCACAGCAGCAGCCACUACAGCCACUGCAGCAGCAGCAACCGCAGCAACCGCAGCAGCAGCAGCAGCAGCAGCAGCAGCACGCCCAGCAGUCAGCAGCAGCACCGCCUAGUCUAACUGCAUCACAGAAGACUGUAACUACAGCUUCUAUGAUUACCACAAAGACACUACCUCUCGUCUUGAAAGCAGCAACUGCGACCAUGCCUGCCUCUGUUGUGGGCCAGAGACCUACCAUUGCUAUGGUGACCGCCAUCAACAGCCAGAAGGCUGUGCUCAGCACUGAUGUGCAGAACACACCAGUCAACCUCCAGACGUCUAGUAAGGUCACUGGGCCUGGGGCAGAGGCUGUCCAAAUUGUGGCAAAAAACACAGUCACUCUGCAGGUUCAAGCAACACCUCCUCAGCCCAUCAAAGUACCACAGUUUAUCCCUCCUCCUAGACUCACUCCACGCCCAAACUUCCUUCCACAGGUUCGACCCAAGCCUGUGGCCCAGAAUAACAUUCCUAUCGCUCCAGCGCCUCCUCCCAUGCUUGCAGCUCCUCAGCUUAUCCAGAGGCCUGUCAUGCUGACCAAGUUUACACCCACAACCCUCCCCACAUCCCAGAAUUCCAUCCACCCUGUCCGUGUUGUCAAUGGACAGACUGCAACCAUAGCCAAAACGUUCCCCAUGGCCCAGCUCACCAGCAUUGUCAUAGCUACUCCAGGGACCAGACUCCCUGGACCUCAGACUGUACAGCUUAGCAAACCAAGCCUGGAGAAACAGACAGUUAAAUCCCACCCAGAAGCAGAGGAAAAACAAGCAGAGAGCCGUACCGUUACCCCACCUGCUGCACCAAAACCAAAACGAGAAGAGAACCCUCAGAAACUUGCCUUCAUGGUGUCUCUAGGGUUGGUAACACAUGACCAUCUAGAAGAAAUCCAAAGCAAGAGGCAGGAAAGAAAGAGAAGAACAACAGCAAACCCGGUGUACAGUGGGGCUGUCUUUGAGCCAGAGCGUAAGAAGAGUGCAGUCACUUACCUUAACAGCACAAUGCAUCCUGGGACGCGGAAGAGAGCCAAUGAGGAACACUGGCCAAAGGUAUGUAAGAUCAUUUUCCCCUGUCUUUCCCCCCCUCCUCCCCUUUUGUUCCCUUCUCUUGGUAUAUAGGUCGUCCUCCAAAAUACAAUGCGGUGCUGGGGUUUGGAGCCCUUACCCCAACAUCCCCCCCAUCCAGUCAUCCCGACUCCCCUGAAAAUGAAAAGACAGAGACCACAUUCACUUUCCCUGCACCUGUUCAGCCUGUGUCUUUGCCCAGCCCCACCUCCACAGACGGUGAUAUCCAUGAGGAUUUUUGCAGUGUUUGCAGAAAAAGUGGCCAGUUGCUGAUGUGUGACACGUGUUCCCGUGUGUAUCAUCUGGACUGCUUAGAGCCGCCCCUGAAAACAAUUCCCAAGGGCAUGUGGAUCUGUCCCAGAUGUCAGGACCAGAUGCUAAAGAAGGAAGAAGCAAUUCCUUGGCCUGGAACCUUAGCCAUUGUUCAUUCCUACAUCGCCUACAAAGCAGCAAAAGAAGAGGAGAAACAGAAGCUACUUAAGUGGAGUUCAGAUUUAAAACAGGAGCGGGAACAACUGGAGCAGAAGGUCAAAGAGCUCAGCAGUUCUAUAAGUAAAUGUAUGGAGAUGAAGAGCAGCAUCCUGGCGCGGCAGAAGGAGAUGCGCAGCUCCCUGGACAAGGUGAAGCGGCUCAUCCGCCUUGUGCAUGGCGUCGACCUCUGCAGACCUGUGGACUCAGAGGCCACGGCGGGGGCCCUCUCCAAUGGCCCAGACUGCACUCCCCCUGCCAACGCCGCCUCCACACCCGCCCCUUCCCCCUCCUCGCAGAGCUGCACAGCGAACUGUAACCAGGGGGAAGAGACUAAAUAACAGAGCCCUCGAGGCGGACAUGCCACAGUCCUGGUGGCGAGGAGACGCUAGAAGAGCAAAGCCGGAUUUCUUCUGGAAAGUACAGAGUUCUUUUGGUUCUUUGGUUCCAGAGAGAGAGAAGAUGCUUGUGCCAGGUGGCACCCGAGUUUGCCAAUUGAUUCUUGUUAUUCUGUGUGUACAUGCAAAGACUGGACCAUGUUACAUGAAAUAGUGCCAGCUGGAGGUUCUUUGCCAGCACCAUGCCAAGUGACAUAAUAUAUUACUCUCUCUAUUAUACACCAGUGUGUGCCUGCAGCAGCCUCCACAGCCACGGUGGGUUCGUUUUUGUUUUGUUGGGUGGGGAGCAGGGACGGGCGGAGGGAGGAGAGCAGGUUUCAGAUCCUUACUGGGAGCCGUUUGUUUAGGUAGAAAGACAAGUCCAAAGAGUGUGUGGGCUUUCCUGUUCCUAAACUUUUCACUACCAUAAAACCAAAAAACGAAAAAAAAAGAAAAAAAGAUAAAAAAGGAAAUAGAGAUUUAACUAACCCAGUGCCCAGAAGAGGGACGGGAAGGGCUGGGAGGGGGCAAGGGUGGGAAAGUAUAUGACAUAAGCAGUAUUUAACGUUCCUGGAGGGGCCGAAGUGCAAGAGGAGAGCCCCGCCCCUCCCUAGCUCGCCCCGCCCACAGCCUCCAGCAGCCCCUCCCCUCUGCUUGGUGUAGUGCAGAGCCCGGGUGGUUCUAGGCCUUGUUAAGCAGGGAAGGGAGGGUGCGAGGGGUCCGGAGGGAGAAAGGCGGAUCAGAGGUUUACUUGAAAACAAGCUCCAUCCCUUUUCUAUAUUUAUAAGAAGAGAAGGUUCUAAGCAGAGCAGCACGACCCAGGUGUGUGUGAAUGGAGACAACCCUUUUCUCUUCUUCAAGUUUAUUUUGUUUCUGUUCUUGUUUUGUUUAAACAAAGUUUUGUUUUGUUGUUUAUUUUUCCUUUCUUUCUUUCUUUCUUUCUUUCUUUCUUUCUUUUUAACAAGAACUAAAAUAAGAAAUAGAAAAGCUGUUUUUUCAGGCUGACGGUCCUGUUGAGGGUAGCGGAGACCUUGCAUGAUAGAGUAGGCGUCAUAGUGUCAAGUGAGGUCGGUGAGUCUGUGUGCGUCCUGUGUCAUCAGUCAGGCACUGUUCUGGUUUGUUUGUUUUGUUUUUUACUUUCUGGUUUUGUUUUCUGGUUUUGUUUUUUGUUUUUUCAUGCAAGGGCAAAAAAAAAAAUCUUUGUACCUGGGGAAAACAACUUUUUUUUUAUUAAAAAGGAAAAUAAAAGAUAUUGAGGUCUUCCUAGUGUUACUUAAAUUAAGAUCAAGGUAAGAAACAUUGUAAAAAUUACAAAAGUGCUAUUUGUUUCCUAAAAACAGUGAUUUUUAUUAAAAAGGUGUCAGAACUGGAGAAAACGCUGUGUAGUGACAGUUUUUUAGCACAGAGCCUACUGAUCCUGAUGACAUUUUACUGUGUUGUAUCUCUAGACUGGUGUGCCAGUUUCCUGCAGGGCCGGGUCCGCCCCCUCCUCGCUCCUCCCUACUCAGACUUGCUGUCUCCUUGGUACAGGGAUCUCAUCUCCUGUUUGAAGCCAAAAUGGAAUGUGCAUAGUGUCAGGGCGUUCCCACGGUCUCAGACCUUGCUAGAACGCAGGCUGGUGCCCACCUAGCCCUUCCCUUGGUGCUGCUCUGUCUUACAGCCACCAGCAUUACUUAUGCCUCGGGGGCCCCUUGGGGGACUGACCAGUGAGGCUCCUCACUGCCUGUAUACUUGGCCUCCAGGAGGGUAUAGGAUGCAGGCUGGCUGCAUCAGGGAGGAAAUGCUUUGAGAGUCCGUAUGUCUCUAAGAGCCCAGGUAGCCUUCAAGUCCAUCUUGCGUUAAAGAGAGAAAUCUGAAGCUCUAGGGGGUCUCUGCCUGCCCGCCCCAAGGUCAGAGUUCACUCCCAUUCCACUCACUCACAUGCUUCCUGGGUGUUCCUGGGCUAGAAUCACUAUGCUUGCCUUGUGUGGCCUAGUGUAGACUUUUCUUCUUGGAAAAAUGGGGUUCUGAAAGGCUCUCUACUCAUCUCCCCGACAAUACCAUAGGGAACAUAACUCUACGAGACGCAUGCUCCCAGUGGAAAUCUUUAUCUGAUCCAUGUCCUUGAGUGAAGGGACAGAGACCUAGGCUCUACCCCCAGGUCUGAAAGCAGCAUCUCUCUGAGCCCGCCAGGCUCCCAAGUCUAGGAGUAGCAGGAAAGACCCCUUUGCUUCUUCCUUGCCCAGUUAGGUCCAUGGAAAAUGAGCUGGAUCCUGACUGAAACUACAGCAGACAAGAGGUGCUUGUGAGAGUGAGCCAGGCCCAUCCACACCAGCCACCCAUUCACUUCCCAGCGUUUGAGAAGAGGGCAGGUAGUCUGGCCACACAGGCCUCAGCUUCAGGCCUCUGGCUUCAGGUUGACUGAGGGGAGCAGAGAAAAGCCCUCUUUUCUUAUUUAGGAACUAAGGUGCUGUCUAGUUAGCGGGCGUUGGAGAUGCCUGGACUAGUUGGAUCUUUGGCAGAGGAUCAGAGACCAGCUGCAGGCUGAUAUCCUGUCUCAGCUCCCCCAACCUGCCAACCCCCUGUUGGACUUGUCUGGGCCCAUAGGCUGGGGCUUGGCACAUACUACCUACCUGUGAUGGGAAGAGGUUGACAAGCCAUCAACAAUCACUACAGGCCUUUGCUCCAGAAGAGCUGCUGGUGGCAGCACGAGACCCGAGCAGCAUAGACUCCCAUCUUCUGAUGUUUGGAAAUGAGUUGCUUUGAGUCAACUGGAGUGAAGUAAAAAAAUGUAGCCCUGCUCCAAGCCUCCACUGUGGGUCCUGCCCCUUCCGUCUACUUGCCCUUACCUCUGUCAGCACAAAGCUCUUCUCUGUCCCUUUAGACCUGUGCGUACCUGGGACCACCUGGGACAUACACACACACUGCCCCUUCAGAGCCGCUUCCAAGCUCCCAUCCUCCCUCCCCUACCUGCGUGUGUUGCUCUUGUAGCCACAUGUGUAAGGCUCGCUAGCAUGGCAGUCACUUUGGAGGGCCUUGGACUGGGAGUCCCCUUGUCCCCAGGGUCAGGCUGGCAGGUGUAGGCCAUAGAGGUCAGCACCAUCGCCUUCCUCCCCUAAAGGGUCCUCUCUCUUUCUGAGCCACUGUCUUGUCUGCCUCCGCUGAGCUUAACCAGUUCUCGUUUUUUCCCUUGCUUGUCUGGCUUUGGGAGGUAAGGCUGCUGAUGACGUCCUUCAAGAAAGUCUCAGAAGCAGUCCCCGAUGGCUUUACCUGAGUAGGGCCUGCCUCUAUAGGCAGUAACAGCCACAGGCAGCCUCCAGCUGGCCCCCAUCUUAGUGACUGGCAUCCUCUUAGGGGCACCUCUCCUGCUGCUGCUUCUUGUCUCAUGCCCAUCAGGCAGUGGUAAGGUACAUGUGUACCCAGCACUGCCCAAGCGACUGUGUCUCCAGCUGUCUGUCUACACCUACAGCUGCCUCUCUGCCGCCUCUCUGAUGCUUCCUCUUGGGGCUUGACUUCUUGACUCUCCCUACCAGCCCCCUCCCUCCAGCUCACAACCUUUAAAUGGUCUCUUCCCUUUAGGCCCUCCUUUGGUAUGGACCUUACCUAACUAAAGGGCUGAACUCUUGAGGACAUUCCUCCCAGGGGCAGGAGUAGGACGGACCAGUUGGUCCUUCUCUGGACACUGGGUUCUCCAGACCCCAUGGCUUCUGUUGAAUGCAGGCUACUUUGCUCUGUGUAAAUGAUUGUGGACCUUGUCCCACCCCACAUCCCAGCACCCCUGGCAGAAAACAGGAGUAUCACUUCUCAUCCUACCUUUAGCCGGUGCUCCUGGUCAGCUCCUCCCCGAGAAGGAAUUGGGUGACCCCUAGGGAAGAUUCCACUGGUCCUCCCCAGGGAAUGAAGAGUCCCACCUGGCAGCCUUGGCCCCUGCACCCCUCUCCAGUGUUCUUGCUCUUAGCCCAGGGUGAGUUGCAGUCAGGUGGGUGGGCUGAGCAGACCAGAAGUCAGCAAGCUCCACCACGCAUACAGCCAGCCAGACCCAGUCCUGUCUGUGUCCAUGCCCUUUGUGAUUUCAGUCUUGGUAGAAUUUGUAUUUGGAGUUUUGUGCUUCAAAGUUUCUGUUUCAUUUGUUCGGUUUUUGUUUCGAGGGGGUGGGGGGUACAGAGCAGCCGAUCAAUUUGUAUUUAUUUAUUUUAACAUUUUACUAAAUAAAGCCAAAUGAAGCCUC